AUAUGGUCAAGGAGUGUAGCUGUAAAAAAUCAUCAAAAUCGGAGUAAAAAUAACCGUUAAAUCGUGAUUUUUCGUUUAUAACCGUAAAAAUGUUUUGUCUCCUUACUUGAUCUCUGAAUGGUUGUUUUUUUGCAAUUUUUGGCAUAUGCAAUCUUAAAGUAUAUACAAACAUGUUUGACGGUUGGAUCGUUGAAACUAGUUUCGUAGAAUGCGUAUCCCAUCAAAACAAUUGAUUCACUAACACUUAAGAGUUUAUUCAUACUUUUAUCAAGUAUAACAUAAGAUUUUUGAUAUCCACUAGUGUAAAUAUUUUAAAUUGAAGAUCGAAUUCAUUCAUUGUAUUUAUAUAUGGUCAAGGAGUGUAGCUGUAAAAAAUCAUCAAAAUCGGAGUUAGAAUAACCGUUAAAUCGUGAUUUUUCGUUUAUAACCGUAAAAAUGUUUUGUCCUGUUACUUGAUCUCUGAAUGUUUGUUUUUUUGCAAUUUUUGGCAUAUGCAAUCUCAAAGUAUAUACAAACAUGUUUGACGGUUGGAUCUUUGAAACUAGUUUCGUAGAAUGCGUAUCCCA
This 566-nucleotide long non-coding RNA is filed under the name Malus domestica (apple). RNAcentral describes it as "long non-coding RNA (MDOM_LNC013123)". Lineage: Eukaryota; Viridiplantae; Streptophyta; Magnoliopsida; Rosales; Rosaceae. The record is from RNAcentral.